UUUCGAAUUAUUCACAAUGGGCGAAAGCCUGAUGGUGCGACGCCGCGUGAGGGAUGAAGGUCUUCGGAUCGUAAACCUCUGUCACCGGGGAAGAAUGGCUAUGACCUAAUACGUCAUGGAUUGACUUAACCCGGAGAGGAAGCAGUGGCUAACUCUGUGCCAGCAGCCGCGGUAAUACAGAGACUGCAAGCGUUAUUCGGAUUCACUGGGCGUAAAGGGUGCGCAGGCGGUUAUGUGUGUUAGAUGUGAAAGCCCGAGGCUCAACCUCGGAAUUGCGUCUAAAACUACAUGACUAGAGUACCGGAGAGGAUAGCGGAAUUCACGGUGUAGCAGUGAAAUGCGUAGAUAUCGUGAAGAACACCAGCGGCGAAGGCGGCUAUCUGGAAGGUAACUGACGCUCAGGCACGAAAGCGUGGGGAGCAAAAGGG
Molecule: ribosomal RNA, 428 nt
Filed under: uncultured bacterium
Lineage: Bacteria
Description: bacterial SSU rRNA
Rfam family: Bacterial small subunit ribosomal RNA
Source: RNAcentral